This 1055-nucleotide ribosomal RNA is filed under the name Salmonella enterica subsp. enterica serovar Typhimurium. Its description in RNAcentral is "partial 23S ribosomal RNA". It matches the Rfam family "Bacterial large subunit ribosomal RNA", at positions 943 to 1895 of the family's 2925-position model. Lineage: Bacteria; Pseudomonadati; Pseudomonadota; Gammaproteobacteria; Enterobacterales; Enterobacteriaceae. The record is from RNAcentral.
CCCGAUGCAAACUGCGAAUACCGGAGAAUGUUAUCACGGGAGACACACGGCGGGUGCUAACGUCCGUCGUGAAGAGGGAAACAACCCAGACCGCCAGCUAAGGUCCCAAAGUCAUGGUUAAGUGGGAAACGAUGUGGGAAGGCCCAGACAGCCAGGAUGUUGGCUUAGAAGCAGCCAUCAUUUAAAGAAAGCGUAAUAGCUCACUGGUCGAGUCGGCCUGCGCGGAAGAUGUAACGGGGCUAAACCAUGCACCGAAGCUGCGGCAGCGAACGUAUCACCCAAGACAACUUUACGGAGUUGACGAUUGACGGAGCGAAGCGACGUCAAAGCGUUCAUUAAAGUCGAGUUGGCUUAGGGAUACGUUCGUUGGGUAGGGGAGCGUUCUGUAAGCCUGUGAAGGUGUGUCGUGAGGCAUGCUGGAGGUAUCAGAAGUGCGAAUGCUGACAUAAGUAACGAUAAAGCGGGUGAAAAGCCCGCUCGCCGGAAGACCAAGGGUUCCUGUCCAACGUUAAUCGGGGCAGGGUGAGUCGACCCCUAAGGCGAGGCCGAAAGGCGUAGUCGAUGGGAAACGGGUUAAUAUUCCCGUACUUGGUGUUACUGCGAAGGGGGGACGGAGAAGGCUAUGUUGGCCGGGCGACGGUUGUCCCGGUUUAAGCGUGUAGGUGUGUGUUCCAGGUAAAUCCGGUUCACUUUAACACUGAGGCGUGACGACGAGGCACUACGGUGCUGAAGCAACAAAUGCCCUGCUUCCAGGAAAAGCCUCUAAGCAUCAGGUAACACGAAAUCGUACCCCAAACCGACACAGGUGGUCAGGUAGAGAAUACCAAGGCGCUUGAGAGAACUCGGGUGAAGGAACUAGGCAAAAUGGUGCCGUAACUUCGGGAGAAGGCACGCUGACACGUAGGUGAAGUGAUUUACUCAUGGAGCUGAAGUCAGUCGAAGAUACCAGCUGGCUGCAACUGUUUAUUAAAAACACAGCACUGUGCAAACACGAAAGUGGACGUAUACGGUGUGACGCCUGCCCGGUGCCGGAAGGUUAAUUGAUGGGGUCAGCG